CCUACGGGGAGCUGCAGUGGGGAAUAUUGGGCAAUGGGCGCAAGCCUGACCCAGCAACGCCACGUGAAGGAAGAAGGCUUUCGGGUUGUAAACUUCUUUUCUCAGGGACGAAGCAAGUGACGGUACCUGAGGAAUAAGCCACGGCUAACUACGUGCCAGCAGCCGCGGUAAUACGUAGGUGGCAAGCGUUAUCCGGAUUUACUGGGUGUAAAGUGCGUGUAGGCGGGACUGCAAGUCAGAUGUGAAAACCACGGGCUCAACCUGUGGCCUGCAUUUGAAACUGUAGUUCUUGAGUACUGGAGAGGCAGACGGAAUUCCUAGUGUAGCGGUGAAAUGCGUAGAUAUUAGGAGGAACACCGGUGGCGAAGGCGGCUUACUGGACCGUAACUGACGUUGAGGCUCGAAAGCGUGGGGAGCAAACAGGAUUAGAUACCCGAGUAGUC
This 443-nucleotide ribosomal RNA is filed under the name uncultured bacterium. RNAcentral's name for it is "partial 16S ribosomal RNA". It matches the Rfam family "Bacterial small subunit ribosomal RNA", at positions 338 to 795 of the family's 1533-position model. The record is from RNAcentral.